GGGGAAGGCGGGGGACCCGGGACUUCCAAGUGUGUCUGGUUUCCCGCAGAAUCCAGCCUCUGUCCACGUGAACUCUGCUCUGUCCUCUGGGCUCAUAAUGUUCUGAGACUCUUGCUGCCUCUUUCAUGGAUUCCCCUUCUAUUUCCCUGAGACGACUCACAGGUCACAGAAAGCUGCCUCCCAUCCUUGCGGCUCCAUCAAGGUGCUUUGGAGGCAGGUAAAGCGCAGCCAAAAACAAUCCAUUGAUACACUUGGUGACAUUAAUUGAGAAAAAAACAAUAUGGUCUGGCCAUGGAGGCAUGGUAUCCGUAACAUCCCCCAAAGGAGCUAAAGAAGAAAUCCACAAUUUACCAUGAGCAUUUCUCGUCUGAAGAUUGCCAAGCGAUUCCUCCAGGACAUUCCUCAAGAUCAAUUUCUGUUCAUCCACCUUGUCCUGGGAGGGACAUCAAUGGGUUUCCAUGUCCUUUGGCUUCUGGUUGAGUUCACUCAGUGGAGAACCCUGGCAAGAGGCAGGAAAAGGGGAGGAAGGUGAAAACCAUCCAUUUCUUGGAGAAGUGCCACGGUGGGGUUGCAAGUCCCAGGAUCAAGUUUUCGAUGUGUCUCUUUUUCCCGUAAAGUGGCUGAAAUCUGAAGCUGAAUCUGCAAGUGUCAUGGAGUCAUUGAAUCUCACAGUCUCAACUGAUAAAAGUUAUUAAAGGUCGUCUGGUU
This 708-nucleotide long non-coding RNA is filed under the name Homo sapiens (human). Its description in RNAcentral is "SOX9 antisense RNA 1". Lineage: Eukaryota; Metazoa; Chordata; Mammalia; Primates; Hominidae. The record is from RNAcentral.